RNAcentral lists this ribosomal RNA (460 nucleotides) under uncultured bacterium. RNAcentral describes it as "partial 16S ribosomal RNA". It matches the Rfam family "Bacterial small subunit ribosomal RNA", at positions 338 to 795 of the family's 1533-position model. The record is from RNAcentral.
CCUACGGGGGGCUGCAGUGAGGAAUAUUGGUCAAUGGGAGGAAUCCUGAACCAGCCAUGCCGCGUGCAGGACGACGGCUCUACGAGUUGUAAACUGCUUUUGUACCGGGGUAAAAUGCCUUACGUGUAGCGUUUUGAAAGUACGGUACGAUUAAGGAUCGGCUAACUCCGUGCCAGCAGCCGCGGUAAUACGGAGGAUCCGAGCGUUAUCCGGAUUUAUUGGGUUUAAAGGGUGCGUAGGUGGGUUUUUAAGUUAGCGGUGAAAUACCGAUGCUCAACCUCGGGGCUGCCGUUAAGACUGUAGGACUAGAGAGCGGAGGAAGCAGGCGGAAUGUGUAGUGUAGCGGUGAAAUGCAUAGAUAUUACGCAGAACACCGAUUGCGAAGGCAGCUUGCUAGGCCGGAUCUGACACUGAUGCACGAAAGCGUGGGGAUCGAACAGGAUUAGAUACCCCUGUAGUC